Molecule: transfer RNA, 87 nt
Filed under: Synergistaceae bacterium
Lineage: Bacteria; Thermotogati; Synergistota; Synergistia; Synergistales; Synergistaceae
Description: tRNA-Leu
Rfam family: tRNA
About the family: Transfer RNA (tRNA) molecules are approximately 80 nucleotides in length. Their secondary structure includes four short double-helical elements and three loops (D, anti-codon, and T loops). Further hydrogen bonds mediate the characteristic L-shaped molecular structure. tRNAs have two regions of fundamental functional importance: the anti-codon, which is responsible for specific mRNA codon recognition, and the 3' end, to which the tRNAs corresponding amino acid is attached (by aminoacyl-tRNA synthetases). tRNAs cope with the degeneracy of the genetic code in two manners: having more than one tRNA (with a specific anti-codon) for a particular amino acid; and 'wobble' base-pairing, i.e. permitting non-standard base-pairing at the 3rd anti-codon position.
Source: RNAcentral
GCGAGAGUGAUGGAAUUGGUAGACAUGCAAGACUUAGGAUCUUGUGCCUUCAUCGGUGUAGGGGUUCAAAUCCCCUCUCUCGCACCA